RNAcentral lists this ribosomal RNA (451 nucleotides) under uncultured bacterium. Its description in RNAcentral is "partial 16S ribosomal RNA". It matches the Rfam family "Bacterial small subunit ribosomal RNA", at positions 28 to 507 of the family's 1533-position model. The record is from RNAcentral.
GAUGAAUGCUGGCGGCGUGCCUAACACAUGCAAGUCGAGCGGCAGCGAGGGGUGCUUGCACCCUGUCGGCGAGCGGCGAACGGCUGAGUAACGCGUAGGAAUUUGCCCCAAAGUGAGGAAUAACUGCCCGAAAGGGUAGCUAAUGCCGCAUAUGGUCUUCGGAUUAAAGGAUUUAUCCGCUUUGGGAGAAGCCUGCGUUGGAUUAGGUUGUUGGUAGGGUAAUGGCCUACCAAGCCGACGAUCCAUAGCUGGUCUGAGAGGAUGAUCAGCCAGACUGGAACUGAGACACGGUCCAGACUCCUACGGGAGGCAGCAGUGAGGAAUCUUCCACAAUGGGCGAAAGCCUGAUGGAGCAACGCCGCGUGAAGGAUGAAGGCCUUAGGGUUGUAAACUUCUUUUAUGAGUGAAGAAUAUGACGGUAACUGAUGAAUAAGCACCGGCUAACUACGUG